CCUACGGGCGGCAGCAGUGAGGAAUAUUGGUCAAUGGCCGGAAGGCUGAACCAGCCAUGCCGCGUGAAGGUCAGUGCCCUAUGGGCGUUAAACUUCUUUUGUGCGGGAGCAAUAAUGGUCACGUGUGGCCAGACGAGAGUACCGUACGAAUAAGCAUCGGCUCACUCCGUGCCAGCAGCCGCGGUAAUACGGGGGAUGCAAGCGUUAUCCGGAUUUAUUGGGUUUAAAGGGUGCGUAGGCUGUGAGGUAAGUCAGCGGUGAAAUGCCCCCGCUCAACGGGGUGAAGUGCCAUUGAUACUGCCUGGCUGGAAUGCGGAUGCCGUGGGAGGAAUGUGUGGUGUAGCGGUGAAAUGCAUAGAUAUCACACAGAACACCGAUUGCGAAGGCAUCUCACGAAGCCGCGAUUGACGCUGAUGCACGAAAGCGUGGGUAUCAAACAGGAUUAGAUACCCUUGUAGUC
RNAcentral lists this ribosomal RNA (460 nucleotides) under uncultured bacterium. Its description in RNAcentral is "partial 16S ribosomal RNA". It matches the Rfam family "Bacterial small subunit ribosomal RNA", at positions 338 to 795 of the family's 1533-position model. The record is from RNAcentral.